AACCUCCGCAAUGUGAGAAAUCGCGACGGGGGGAUCCCAAGUGCCAUUCUUAACGGGAUGGCUUUUCAUUAGUGUAAAGAGCUUUUGGAAUAAGGGCUGGGCAAGACCGGUGCCAGCCGCCGCGGUAACACCGGCAGCUCUAGUGGUAGCAGUUUUUAUUGGGCCUAAAGCGUCCGUAGCCGGUUUAAUAAGUCUCUGGUGAAAUCCUGUAGCUUAACUGUGGGAAUUGCUGGAGAUACUAUUAGACUUGAGACCGGGAGAGGUUAGAGGUACUCCCAGGGUAGAGGUGAAAUUCUGUAAUCCUGGGAGGACCGCCUGUUGCGAAGGCGUCUAACUGGAACGGUUCUGACGGUGAGGGACGAAAGUUAGGGGCGCGAACCGGAUUAGAUACCCGGGUAGUCCUAACUGUAAACGAUGCGGACUUGGUGUUGGGGUGACUUUGAGCUGCUCCAGUGCCGAAGGGAAGCUGUUAAGUCCGCCGCCUGGGAAGUACGGUCGCAAGACUGAAACUUAAAGGAAUU
This 521-nucleotide ribosomal RNA is filed under the name uncultured bacterium. RNAcentral's name for it is "bacterial SSU rRNA". It matches the Rfam family "Archaeal small subunit ribosomal RNA", at positions 345 to 866 of the family's 1478-position model. The record is from RNAcentral.